Molecule: ribosomal RNA, 464 nt
Filed under: uncultured bacterium
Lineage: Bacteria
Description: partial 16S ribosomal RNA
Rfam family: Bacterial small subunit ribosomal RNA
Source: RNAcentral
GACGAACGCUGGCGGCGUGCUUAACACAUGCAAGUCGAACGGUAAGGCCCCUUCGGGGGUACACGAGUGGCGAACGGGUGAGUAACACGUGAGCAACCUGCCCUUGCCUUUGGGAUACCAGCUGGAAACAGCUGCUAAUACCGGAUAUGACCUCUUCUCUCAUGGGUUGAGGUGGAAAGCUCCGGCGGUCAGGGAUGGGCUCGCGGCCUAUCAGCUUGUUGGUGAGGUAAUGGCUCACCAAGGCUUCGACGGGUAGCCGACCUGAGAGGGCGACCGGCCACACUGGGACUGAGAUACGGCCCAGACUCCUACGGGAGGCAGCAGUGGAGAAUAUUGCACAAUGGGCGCAAGCCUGAUGCAGCAACGCCGCGUGCGGGAUGACGGCCUUCGGGUUGUAAACCGCUUUCAGUAGGGACGAAGCUAACGUGACGGUACCUACAGAAGAAGGACCGGCUAACUACGUG